This 497-nucleotide ribosomal RNA is filed under the name uncultured bacterium. RNAcentral's name for it is "partial 16S ribosomal RNA". It matches the Rfam family "Bacterial small subunit ribosomal RNA", at positions 28 to 507 of the family's 1533-position model. The record is from RNAcentral.
GAUGAACGCUGGCGGCGUGCCUAAUACAUGCAAGUCGAGCGAACAGACGAGGAGCUUGCUCCUCUGACGUUAGCGGCGGACGGGCGAGUAACACGUGGAUCACCUACCUAUAAGACUGGGAUAACUUCGGGAAACCGGAGAUAAUACCGGAUAAUAUAUUGAACCGCAUGGAUCAAUAGUGAAUGACGGCUUUGCUGUCACUUAUAGAUGGAUCCGCGUCGCAUUAGCUAGUUGGUAAGGUAACGGCCUACCAAGGCAACGAUGCGUAGCCGACCUGAGAGGGUGAUCGGCCACACUGGAACUGAGACACGGUCCAGACUCCUACGGGAGGCAGCAGUAGGGAAUCUUCCGCAAUGGGCGAAAGCCUGACGGAGCAACGCCGCGUGAGUGAUGAAGGUCUUCGGAUCGUAAAACUCUUUUAUUAGGGAAGAACAAAUGUGUAAGUAACUAUGCACGUCUUGACGGUACCUAAUCAGAAAGCCCCGGCUAACUACGUG